This 253-nucleotide ribosomal RNA is filed under the name uncultured bacterium. Its description in RNAcentral is "partial 16S ribosomal RNA". It matches the Rfam family "Bacterial small subunit ribosomal RNA", at positions 524 to 776 of the family's 1533-position model. The record is from RNAcentral.
UACAGAGGGGGCAAGCGUUAUUCGGAAUUAUUGAGCGUAAAGGGCGCGUAGGCGGCUUUGCAAGUGACGGGUGAAAUCCCUCGGCUUAACCGAGGAACUGCCUGUCAAACUGCAUGGCUUGAAACCGGGAGAGGUGAGUGGAAUUCCCAGUGUAACGGUGAAAUGCGUAGAUAUUGGGAGGAACACCAGUGGCGAAGGCGGCUCACUGGACCGGUACUGACGCUGAGACGCGAAAGCGUGGGGAGCAAACAGG